RNAcentral lists this ribosomal RNA (488 nucleotides) under uncultured bacterium. Its description in RNAcentral is "bacterial SSU rRNA". It matches the Rfam family "Bacterial small subunit ribosomal RNA", at positions 30 to 510 of the family's 1533-position model. The record is from RNAcentral.
AUUGAACGCUGGCGGAAUGCUUUACACAUGCAAGUCGAACGGCAGCACGGGGCAACCUGGUGGCGAGUGGCGAACGGGUGAGUAAUACAUCGGAACGUGCCCAAUCGUGGGGGAUAACGUAGCGAAAGUUACGCUAAUACCGCAUACGAUCUACGGAUGAAAGCGGGGGAUCGCAAGACCUCGCGCGAGUGGAGCGGCCGAUGUCAGAUUAGGUAGUUGGUGGGGUAAAGGCUCACCAAGCCAACGAUCUGUAGCUGGUCUGAGAGGACGACCAGCCACACUGGAACUGAGACACGGUCCAGACUCCUACGGGAGGCAGCAGUGGGGAAUUUUGGACAAUGGGCGCAAGCCUGAUCCAGCCAUUCCGCGUGCAGGAUGAAGGCCUUCGGGUUGUAACUAGCUUUGUUACGGAACGAAACGGACGAGCUCUAAUACAGUUGUCUAAUGACGGUACCGUAAGAAUAAGACACCGGCGUAACUACGUAGCC